Molecule: long non-coding RNA, 236 nt
Filed under: Elaeis guineensis (African oil palm)
Lineage: Eukaryota; Viridiplantae; Streptophyta; Magnoliopsida; Arecales; Arecaceae
Description: long non-coding RNA (EGUI_LNC026479)
Source: RNAcentral
UCAGAGUCAUACAUUCGGUCGGUCGGCUAUUACCAAGUCGAAGUCGUGGAGAUCAAAGUCGGGGUCGGUGGGUUUACCCCAACAGUUGCCUCCCACUUUUAACAGAACUCUACUACUCUGAAUAUUGACAUCUACUGUUCACCAACUUUUCUCUCUAACUUAAGUAUCGGAGAAUUUUCGUCGGACAUAAAUCCGGUCAGUGCGGACGUUGUCUUGCAGGUGUUCGUUCCCGACGA